Molecule: long non-coding RNA, 583 nt
Organism: Octopus sinensis (East Asian common octopus)
Lineage: Eukaryota; Metazoa; Mollusca; Cephalopoda; Octopoda; Octopodidae
Exons: 2
Source: RefSeq, a predicted model, not a curated record
AUCCUGCCAAGGUCAACUUCUCCUUCCAUCUUUGCAAGGUUGAUAAAAUACAAUACCAGUGAUGUACUGGGGUUCAUAUGAUUACCUGUAGCCCUUCUUUCCUUCCUAAAUUUCAUGUUUAUAUAAGCUGUCAGAAUUCUUAGAAGUAUUUUUCCUGUCUUUACAUUUCUGGGUUUACUCAGGUGUGUAUAUAUCAUUGUUCUACUGUGUAGAGUGUGUAUUGAAUAAAUAUAUAUGUGUGUGUGAGUAUGUGUGUAAUAAUUGCUGUAAUUAAGUUAUUGUGACCUAAUUACAUUUGUUUUCUUUAAUGACCUAAUAACUAUUAUCUCAAGCUGUGUGAUGUUUGCUUUUUUUUCAUGUUUUUCUUUCCUCAUCCAGUCCUUUCAGUUGCAAGUAUGAAGUGGUGUCUGUGAUGCUGUCCAAGGGUUCACUUCAGUUGGACAUUAAGAACAAAAUGGAAAGGACACCAUUGCUUGAAGCCGUUUCCCAGGGUCACCUCGGAAUGACACACCUGUUAAUAGCCCUGGGUGCAAAUGUAAAUGCUGUUGAUGGUGAAGGUAACAGUUGUUUGCACCUAGCCAUG